GUGAUUGCCUCAGGAGCACAUAUACUAAAAUUGGAAUGAUACGAAGAAGGUUAGCAUGGCCCUUGCAUAAGGAUGGCAGACAAAUUCAUGAAGCGUUCCAUAUUUUU
Small nuclear RNA from Loxodonta africana (African savanna elephant), 107 nucleotides. Lineage: Eukaryota; Metazoa; Chordata; Mammalia; Proboscidea; Elephantidae. The record is from Ensembl.